RNAcentral lists this unclassified non-coding RNA (399 nucleotides) under soil metagenome. Its description in RNAcentral is "partial contains 5.8S ribosomal RNA, internal transcribed spacer 2, and large subunit ribosomal RNA". The stretch from base 1 to 122 matches the Rfam family "5.8S ribosomal RNA", at positions 35 to 154 of the family's 154-position model. The record is from RNAcentral.
GAUGAAGAACGUAGCGAAAUGCGAUACUUGGUGUGAAUUGCAGAAUCCCGUGAACCAUCGAGUCUUUGAACGCAAGUUGCGCCUCAAGCCAUUAGGUUGAGGGCACGUCUGCCUGGGCGUCACAUAUCGUUGCCUGAUGCCAGUUUCCUCGUGAUGGGUGACUGUGCAGGGCGAAUGAUGGCUUCCCGUGAGCAUUGUUGCCUCAUGGUUGGUUGAAAAUUGAGUCCUUGGUAGGGAGCGCCGUGAUAGAUGGUGGUUGAGUGACGAACGAGACCCAAUCAUGUGAGACCCUACCGAAUUUGGCCUUCAUGACCCACAUGCGUCUUUGGAACGUUCAUGACGAGACCUCAGGUCAGGCGGGGCUACCCGCUGAGUUUAAGCAUAUCAAUAAGCGGAGGA